This 442-nucleotide ribosomal RNA is filed under the name uncultured bacterium. RNAcentral describes it as "SSU rRNA". It matches the Rfam family "Bacterial small subunit ribosomal RNA", at positions 26 to 518 of the family's 1533-position model. The record is from RNAcentral.
AGAGCGAACGCUGGCGGCAGGCCUAACACAUGCAAGUCGAGCGCCCAGCAAUGGGAGCGGCAGACGGGAUAGUAACACGUGGGAACGUACCUUUCAGUUCGGAACAACCCAGGGAAACUUGGGCUAAUACCGAAUACGUCCGUAAGGAGAAAGAUUUAUCGCUGAAAGAUCGGCCCGCGUCUGAUUAGCUAGUUGGUGAGGUAAUGGCUCACCAAGGCGACGAUCAGUAGCUGGUCUGAGAGGAUGAUCAGCAUCACUGGGACUGAGACACGGCCCAGACUCCUACGGGAGGCAGCAGUGGGGAAUAUUGGACAAUGGGCGCAAGCCUGAUCCAGCCAUGCCGCGUGGAUGAUGAAGGCCUUAGGGUUGUAAAGUCCUUUCGGCGGGGAAGAUAAUGACGGUACCGCAGAAGAAGCCCGGCUAACUUCGCGCCAGCAGCCGC